CAGACCUGAAAUCAGGCGAGGUUACCCGCUGAACUUAAGCAUAUUAUUAAGCGGAGGAGAAGAAAAUAACUAUGAUUCCCUUAGUAACGGCGAGUGAACCGGGAUCAGCUCAAAGUGGAAAUCAACUGCUCUUUCCGAGCUGUUGACUUGUAGCCUCGAGAGGCGUUACCAGUGGAAGCGCAGGGUUAAGUUUCUUGGGAAAGAACAUCAUAGAGGGUGAGAAUCCCGUCCUUCCCCUGCGUUUUUUGUUCCACGUACGGUACGCUUUUAUAGAGUCGCGUUCAUCGGGAUUUGAGCGCAAAAUGUGUGGUAGGUUUCACAUAAAGCUAAGUACUGGCGCGAGACCGAUAGCAAACAAGUACCGUGAGGGAAAGAUGAAAAGUUCUUUGGAAAGAGAGUUAAAAGUGCCUGAAAUUGCUGAAAAGGAAGCGAUUGGGACCUUUUUGAUUCCAAGAAGUGCCGCCGGUUUGCCAUCUAUCCCUUUGCCUUCUCUCUCUCACCAGGUUUAGGCUUUGGUUUCUUGAUGUAUUUCCGGUUCAUCUUUUUGGAGAGGUCAGCAUCAGCUACUCGGAAUUGAUUUCGUUCAAAGAAGGUAGGUUCCUUGUGGACCGUUAUAUCUUUGUUCUUUCCUUUUCCUUGUGGGCUGAGGAGUGUUCCUGUUUCCGAGCUCCACUUUCGAGUACUCGGUUUCUGUGAUGCUGGCUUAAUCGGUUCCAACCGACCCGUCUUGAAACACGGACCAGGAGUCUACAUAUG
This 756-nucleotide ribosomal RNA is filed under the name Toxoplasma gondii ME49. Its description in RNAcentral is "Toxoplasma gondii rRNA TGME49_458560". It matches the Rfam family "Eukaryotic large subunit ribosomal RNA", at positions 1 to 683 of the family's 3401-position model. Lineage: Eukaryota; Apicomplexa; Conoidasida; Eucoccidiorida; Sarcocystidae. The record is from RNAcentral.